GUUGACUGGUGUUUAUAGAAGAACAUAUGUUGCCUAUCAGUUUUUCGCAUGGUAUUUUAAACCUGAGUUUUGUAAGCAGCAUAGCCAAAAAGAUUAAUGCCAAAAUCGUAUACUUGUGUAUAAGCCAAGAUUUUCCUCCCAAAAAAAUUUCUGAAGUGGGGAUCAGCUUACACAUAGGGCAAAACAAAUCAACUUUUUUUUUGGCUGGAGAAAUUGAAAUGGUAAGCAGAACCAUAACUUAAUGAAUGUCUCUGGAAAUUUUACAAUAAUUCAUUUAAUGAAUACCAGGUAAAAUUUUAUCUUACCCUGAAGCAAUUGAGCACAUUGCAUGCUGACUCCAAUCUAUAUUCUAUAUACCAUAAUCAGAUAGAUGCUGCUGUGCUGCCUGAUAUGAUGCAACACAAAAUCCAACAAUCAAUCAAGAAUCUUAUCUAGAAUUCAUAUUUGGGUGAAAAAAAUAUAUUUAUUUUUCUUUA
RNAcentral lists this long non-coding RNA (476 nucleotides) under Androctonus crassicauda. Lineage: Eukaryota; Metazoa; Arthropoda; Arachnida; Scorpiones; Buthidae. The record is from RNAcentral.